This 440-nucleotide unclassified non-coding RNA is filed under the name Heliconia aurea. Its description in RNAcentral is "partial external transcribed spacer". The record is from RNAcentral. Lineage: Eukaryota; Viridiplantae; Streptophyta; Magnoliopsida; Zingiberales; Heliconiaceae.
UGGAAUGACCGUGUCGGCACGUGAGCGGUGAUGGAUUCGCAUGCCACGGCGGGCUCCCUGCCACUGUGCAGCCAACCGCCGUCGUUGCAGCCCCUUCACUCGUGCUCCAACCACUCGGAGCCUCCCGCGUUGCCUGUACAACAUACCCGGUUCUNGGGCAAAUGACUUCGUCCAACAUGCUCGUCCGCUCCCCUCGCCUUUGUGCGGGCGCGGAGCGGCAAUGUCGGCGGUCCUCGUGCUCCCUCGGACGGACGACGGCACGGCUUUGGCCCCUCGUCUCGUCCCGAUCGGCCCUCGGGGAUUCGCCAGCGCUCGCGGACACGGUAGACAAUGUUGGCUCGGGGCUUUCGUAGCCCCCGCACCACGAUCGGUCGGCUCACUUCGCCGCCCUCGACGAGACGACCGUCGGGCCCGUUGUCCCCUCACCACUCGCCUAACGG